This 58-nucleotide transfer RNA is filed under the name Urocitellus parryii (Arctic ground squirrel). RNAcentral describes it as "Spermophilus parryii (Arctic ground squirrel) tRNA". It matches the Rfam family "tRNA", at positions 8 to 63 of the family's 71-position model. From Rfam's summary of the family: Transfer RNA (tRNA) molecules are approximately 80 nucleotides in length. Their secondary structure includes four short double-helical elements and three loops (D, anti-codon, and T loops). RNAcentral also lists the same sequence under 2 other names. Lineage: Eukaryota; Metazoa; Chordata; Mammalia; Rodentia; Sciuridae. The record is from Rfam by way of RNAcentral.
UAGCUCAGUUGGUAGAGUGCUUGCCUCACAUGCAUAAGGCCUUGGGUUCAAUCCCCAG